Molecule: ribosomal RNA, 484 nt
Filed under: uncultured bacterium
Lineage: Bacteria
Description: partial 16S ribosomal RNA
Rfam family: Bacterial small subunit ribosomal RNA
Source: RNAcentral
AUUGAACGCUGGCGGCAUGCUUUACACAUGCAAGUCGAACGGCAGCACGGGCUUCGGCCUGGUGGCGAGUGGCGAACGGGUGAGUAAUAGAUCGGAACGUACCCAGAAGUGAGGGAGAACGUAGCGAAAGAUACGCUAAUACCGCAUAAGAUCUAUGGAUGAAAGCAGGGGACCGCAAGGCCUUGUGCCCCUGGAGCGGCCGAUAUCUGAUUAGCUAGUUGGUGAGGUAAAGGCGCACCAAGGCGACGAUCAGUAGCUGGUCUGAGAGGACGACCAGCCACACUGGAACUGAGACACGGUCCAGACUCCUACGGGAGGCAGCAGUGGGGAAUUUUGGACAAUGGGCGCAAGCCUGAUCCAGCAAUGCCGCGUGAGUGAAGAAGGCCUUCGGGUUGUAAAGCUCUUUUGUCAGGGAAGAAACGGUAGAGGCUAAUAUCCUUUGCUAAUGACGGUACCUGAAGAAUAAGCACCGGCUAACUACGUG